Coffea arabica (coffee) is the source of this 226-nucleotide non-coding RNA. The record is from RefSeq and is a predicted model, not a curated record. Lineage: Eukaryota; Viridiplantae; Streptophyta; Magnoliopsida; Gentianales; Rubiaceae.
UGACGAUCAGUCAAUGCGAUGGUGGUUCAUGCCAACUUGGUUUCAGCAAGAGAUUUUGGAGUUCAACAAAUCAGCAGACGAGCUGUACUGUACAUAUCUACAGGAAUGUAAAGUAGGAGGUAAUAUAAAAAAGUGUGAGAAGAUAUUCGUGCCAAUGUGGCACGAUGAGCAUUGGUAUAUGUGUGUGGUGGACAUGGGAAGCGAAGAAGUAUUAAUUUAUGAUUCA